Molecule: non-coding RNA, 45 nt
Filed under: Schistosoma mansoni
Lineage: Eukaryota; Metazoa; Platyhelminthes; Trematoda; Strigeidida; Schistosomatidae
Source: RNAcentral
AUCCAGCUGACAAGUCUCAAAUAGAACGAAAUGCUCGUCCUGGAU